This 277-nucleotide long non-coding RNA is filed under the name Phoenix dactylifera (date palm). RNAcentral's name for it is "long non-coding RNA (PDAC_LNC004991)". The record is from RNAcentral. Lineage: Eukaryota; Viridiplantae; Streptophyta; Magnoliopsida; Arecales; Arecaceae.
AUGAGAUACCAGUGGUUGGCAAUGGCAGUGGGCAAUGGUAAGUAGUGAGAGAGGAGGGUUCUUUCACACUCACUCUCUUAUGCUUUUUUCUUAAGCUAUCAUUCUGUUUUCUUAUAAUUUAUUUCAUAUAGUCGUGUAUUUUAUCCAACUUUCUCUCUUUUCUAUUAAUUUAGAGGCUAUUGUAGCCAAGAAAAGUUCAAAAUGCCCUUUUUUAAAAAAAAUUGAAGAACAAUCAAUUUUGUGAAAAGUAAUAAUGCAGUGGCCAUUUUUGCAAAAU